GAGCAAACAAGGGCUGAUAUUCAUUCAAGUCAGUUUCUCAACCCAGACUGCAUGAUAUUUCCCAAACAUUUAAGACUAAGAAAAACAACAACAACAACAACAAAGACAGGAAGAGGCCAGCAUCAAUGUUGCUGUCAUGAGGAGGAAGAGGAGGAGAAGGAAAAGGAAGAGGAGGAAGAGAAGGAAGGGGAAGAAGAGGGGGAGACUCACAAAUAUCUUCUUUUAAUAACAUCAAUGUUGCUGUCAUGAGAAGGAGGAGGAGAACAUCAGUUCCUUUUAACAAUCCAGGUUGUUAGUUUUUAUUGUAAUAAAGCCCAAAGAGACCGCU
Molecule: long non-coding RNA, 328 nt
Organism: Peromyscus leucopus (white-footed mouse)
Lineage: Eukaryota; Metazoa; Chordata; Mammalia; Rodentia; Cricetidae
Exons: 2
Source: RefSeq, a predicted model, not a curated record